This 253-nucleotide ribosomal RNA is filed under the name uncultured bacterium. RNAcentral describes it as "partial 16S ribosomal RNA". It matches the Rfam family "Bacterial small subunit ribosomal RNA", at positions 524 to 776 of the family's 1533-position model. The record is from RNAcentral.
UACAGAGGGUGCAAGCGUUGUUCGGAAUUAUUGGGCGUAAAGAGCGCGUAGGCGGUCCGGUAAGUCCGCUCUGAAAGCCCGGGGCUCAACCCCGGGAGGCGGGCGGAUACUGUCGGGCUAGAGUCCGGAAGAGGCGAGUGGAAUUCCUGGUGUAGCGGUGAAAUGCGCAGAUAUCAGGAGGAACACCGAUGGCGAAGGCAGCUCGCUGGGACGGUACUGACGCUGAGGCGCGAAAGCUAGGGGAGCGAACGGG